RNAcentral lists this ribosomal RNA (117 nucleotides) under Geobacillus thermocatenulatus. The record is from RNAcentral. Lineage: Bacteria; Bacillati; Bacillota; Bacilli; Caryophanales; Anoxybacillaceae. RNAcentral also lists the same sequence under 1 other name.
CCUAGUGGCAAUGGCGGAGGGGAAACACCCGUUCCCAUCCCGAACACGGAAGUUAAGCCCUCCAGCGCCGAUGGUAGUUGGGGCCAGCGCCCCUGCAAGAGUAGGUCGCUGCUAGGC